This 68-nucleotide transfer RNA is filed under the name Scrobicularia plana. Its description in RNAcentral is "tRNA-Gly". It matches the Rfam family "tRNA". Rfam says of the family: Transfer RNA (tRNA) molecules are approximately 80 nucleotides in length. Lineage: Eukaryota; Metazoa; Mollusca; Bivalvia; Cardiida; Scrobiculariidae. The record is from RNAcentral.
AUACUUCUAGUAUAAAUUAGUAUAUUCGCCUUCCAAGCGAAAAGUCAAGCUUAAGUCUUGGAAGUAUA